GAUGAACGCUGGCGGCGUGCCUAAUACAUGCAAGUCGAGCGAACGGACGAGAAGCUUGCUUCUCUGAUGUUAGCGGCGGACGGGUGAGUAACACGUGGAUAACCUACCUAUAAGACUGGGAUAACUUCGGGAAACCGGAGCUAAUACCGGAUAAUAUUUUGAACCGCAUGGUUCAAAAGUGAAAGACGGUCUUGCUGUCACUUAUAGAUGGAUCCGCGCUGCAUUAGCUAGUUGGUAAGGUAACGGCUUACCAAGGCAACGAUGCAUAGCCGACCUGAGAGGGUGAUCGGCCACACUGGAACUGAGACACGGUCCAGACUCCUACGGGAGGCAGCAGUAGGGAAUCUUCCGCAAUGGGCGAAAGCCUGACGGAGCAACGCCGCGUGAGUGAUGAAGGUCUUCGGAUCGUAAAACUCUGUUAUUAGGGAAGAACAUAUGUGUAAGUAACUGUGCACAUCUUGACGGUACCUAAUCAGAAAGCCACGGCUAACUACGUGCCAGCAGCCGCGGUAAUACGUAGGUGGCAAGCGUUAUCCGGAAUUAUUGGGCGUAAAGCGCGCGUAGGCGGUUUUUUAAGUCUGAUGUGAAAGCCCACGGCUCAACCGUGGAGGGUCAUUGGAAACUGGAAAACUUGAGUGCAGAAGAGGAAAGUGGAAUUCCAUGUGUAGCGGUGAAAUGCGCAGAGAUAUGGAGGAACACCAGUGGCGAAGGCGACUUUCUGGUCUGUAACUGACGCUGAUGUGCGAAAGCGUGGGGAUCAAACAGGAUUAGAUACCCUGGUAGUCCACGCCGUAAACGAUGAGUGCUAAGUGUUAGGGGGUUUCCGCCCCUUAGUGCUGCAGCUAACGCAUUAAGCACUCCGCCUGGGGAGUACGACCGCAAGGUUGAAACUCAAAGGAAUUGACGGGGACCCGCACAAGCGGUGGAGCAUGUGGUUUAAUUCGAAGCAACGCGAAGAACCUUACCAAAUCUUGACAUCCUUUGACAACUCUAGAGAUAGAGCCUUCCCCUUCGGGGGACAAAGUGACAGGUGGUGCAUGGUUGUCGUCAGCUCGUGUCGUGAGAUGUUGGGUUAAGUCCCGCAACGAGCGCAACCCUUAAGCUUAGUUGCCAUCAUUAAGUUGGGCACUCUAAGUUGACUGCCGGUGACAAACCGGAGGAAGGUGGGGAUGACGUCAAAUCAUCAUGCCCCUUAUGAUUUGGGCUACACACGUGCUACAAUGGACAAUACAAAGGGUAGCGAAACCGCGAGGUCAAGCAAAUCCCAUAAAGUUGUUCUCAGUUCGGAUUGUAGUCUGCAACUCGACUACAUGAAGCUGGAAUCGCUAGUAAUCGUAGAUCAGCAUGCUACGGUGAAUACGUUCCCGGGUCUUGUACACACCGCCCGUCACACCACGAGAGUUUGUAACACCCGAAGCCGGUGGAGUAACCUUUUAGGAGCUAGCCGUCGAAGGUGGGACAAAUGAUUGGGGUGAAGUCGUAACAAGGUAGCCGUAUCGGAAGG
RNAcentral lists this ribosomal RNA (1504 nucleotides) under uncultured bacterium. RNAcentral describes it as "16S ribosomal RNA". It matches the Rfam family "Bacterial small subunit ribosomal RNA". The record is from RNAcentral.